This 256-nucleotide ribosomal RNA is filed under the name uncultured bacterium. RNAcentral describes it as "partial 16S ribosomal RNA". It matches the Rfam family "Bacterial small subunit ribosomal RNA", at positions 524 to 776 of the family's 1533-position model. The record is from RNAcentral.
UACGUAGGGGGGCAAGCGUUGUCCGGAUUUAUUGGGCGUAAAGAGCGGUGUAGGCGGCUAGAUAGGUCCGUUGUGAAAACUCGAGGCUCAACCUCGAGACGUCGAUGGAAACCAUCUGGCUAGAGUCCGGAAGAGGAGAGUGGAAUUCCUGGUGUAGCGGUGAAAUGCGCAGAUAUCAGGAAGAACACCCGUGGCGAAGGCGGCUCUCUGGUAACGUGACUGACGCUGAGACGCGAAAGCGUGGGGAGCAAACAGG